This 253-nucleotide ribosomal RNA is filed under the name uncultured bacterium. Its description in RNAcentral is "partial 16S ribosomal RNA". It matches the Rfam family "Bacterial small subunit ribosomal RNA", at positions 524 to 776 of the family's 1533-position model. The record is from RNAcentral.
GACGAACCGUACGAACGUUAUUCGGAAUCACUGGGCUUAAAGGGUGCGUAGGCUGCGCGGAAAGUUGGGUGUGAAAUCCCUCGGCUCAACCGAGGAACUGCGCCCAAAACUGCCGUGCUCGAGGGAGACAGAGGUGAGCGGAACUUAGGGUGGAGCGGUGAAAUGCGUUGAUAUCCUAGGGAACACCGGUGGCGAAAGCGGCUCACUGGGUCUCUUCUGACGCUGAGGCACGAAAGCUAGGGUAGCGAACGGG